This 253-nucleotide ribosomal RNA is filed under the name uncultured bacterium. Its description in RNAcentral is "partial 16S ribosomal RNA". It matches the Rfam family "Bacterial small subunit ribosomal RNA", at positions 524 to 776 of the family's 1533-position model. The record is from RNAcentral.
UACGUAGGCAGCAAGCGUUGUUCGGAGUUACUGGGCGUAAAGAGGGCGUCGGUGGUGCCCUAAGUCUGUUGUGAAAUCUCCCGGCUUAACUGGGAGGGUGUGGUGGAAACUGGGGUGCUUGAGUGUGGGAGAGGUAAGCGGAAUUCCUGGUGUAGCGGUGAAAUGCGUAGAUAUCAGGAGGAACACCGGUGGUGUAGACGGCUUACUGGACCACGACUGACACUGAGGCACGAAAGCGUGGGUAGCAAACAGG